CGGUCGGAUACAUUGCCUGUC
This 21-nucleotide non-coding RNA is filed under the name Arabidopsis thaliana (thale cress). The record is from RNAcentral. Lineage: Eukaryota; Viridiplantae; Streptophyta; Magnoliopsida; Brassicales; Brassicaceae.